This is a small nuclear RNA of Propithecus coquereli (Coquerel's sifaka), 145 nucleotides long. Its record names the gene U1. It matches the Rfam family "U1 spliceosomal RNA". Rfam says of the family: U1 is a small nuclear RNA (snRNA) component of the spliceosome (involved in pre-mRNA splicing). Its 5' end forms complementary base pairs with the 5' splice junction, thus defining the 5' donor site of an intron. There are significant differences in sequence and secondary structure between metazoan and yeast U1 snRNAs, the latter being much longer (568 nucleotides as compared to 164 nucleotides in human). The record is from Ensembl. NCBI's taxonomy places the organism in Eukaryota, Metazoa, Chordata, Mammalia, Primates, Indriidae.
AUUCUUACCUGGCAGAGGAAAUACUAUGAUCAAAUAGUGAUUUUAUCAGGGCAAGUGUUGUCUUUUGCACUCAGGAUGUGCUGACCCCUGAGAUUCCCACCCAUGAGAAACUCAACUGGAAAAUUUGUGCUAGUGGGGUAACAUA